UACGGGGGGGGCAAGCGUUGUUCGGAAUUACUGGGCGUAAAGGGCUCGUAGGCGGUUUGUCACGUCGGGAGUGAAAACUCGGGGCUUAACCCCGAGCCUGCUUCCGAUACGGGCAGACUAGAGGUAUGCAGGGGAGAACGGAAUUCCUGGUGUAGCGGUGAAAUGCGCAGAUAUCAGGAGGAACACCGGUGGCGAAGGCGGUUCUCUGGGCAUUACCUGACGCUGAGGAGCGAAAGCGUGGGGAGCAAACAGG
This 253-nucleotide ribosomal RNA is filed under the name uncultured bacterium. RNAcentral's name for it is "partial 16S ribosomal RNA". It matches the Rfam family "Bacterial small subunit ribosomal RNA", at positions 524 to 776 of the family's 1533-position model. The record is from RNAcentral.